Molecule: long non-coding RNA, 393 nt
Filed under: Lathyrus oleraceus (garden pea)
Lineage: Eukaryota; Viridiplantae; Streptophyta; Magnoliopsida; Fabales; Fabaceae
Description: Pisum sativum (pea) long non-coding RNA (PSAT_LNC028540)
Source: RNAcentral
AGUCGAUAAACUUUUUGCUUAGGUAAAUUGCAUGCUCUUUUCGACAAGACUAGUCAUGCUGACCCACCACACACCUCCUAGACCCCUUGAGGGCUGUCAAGUACCAAAUCAACAUUUAUUCCUUCCACGGGAGGCAUUAGAAUCGGAGGUUCCUGCAACUUAUUCUUUUUUCAUUUUUCCAUGCCCCUUGGCAGUCAUCAUUCCACCUGACCAUUGAUUUCUUUUUUUUUUGUUUGUUUUUGGUUCAGGCGUUUCUUGCACUGUUUUUUUUUUUUUUUUUUUUUGCAGGAUCGACCUCGAUUCCUCUUAUCCGCUCAUAAUAAGCCUCGGCAGCUUACCGGACAGCACUCCAUAAGUGCACUGAUUCGAACUCAACGGUAUGAGUUAUCUCUA